UACGGAGGGGGCUAGCGUUGUUCGGAAUUACUGGGCGUAAAGAGCUCGUAGGUGGUUUGUCGCGUUGUUCGUGAAAUCUCACGGCUUAACUGUGAGCGUGCGGGCGAUACGGGCAGACUAGAGUACUGCAGGGGAGACUGGAAUUCCCGGUGUAGUGGUGGAAUGCGUAGAUAUCGGGAGGAACACCAGUGGCGAAGGCGGUUGCCUGGAGCUUUGCUGACGCUGAGGCGCGAAAGCGUGGGGAGCGAUCCGG
RNAcentral lists this ribosomal RNA (253 nucleotides) under uncultured bacterium. Its description in RNAcentral is "partial 16S ribosomal RNA". It matches the Rfam family "Bacterial small subunit ribosomal RNA", at positions 524 to 776 of the family's 1533-position model. The record is from RNAcentral.